RNAcentral lists this ribosomal RNA (1436 nucleotides) under uncultured bacterium. RNAcentral's name for it is "bacterial SSU rRNA". It matches the Rfam family "Bacterial small subunit ribosomal RNA". The record is from RNAcentral.
AGAGUUUGAUUCCUGGCUCAGGAUGAACGCCGGCGGUGUGCCUAAUACAUGCAAGUCGUACGCACUGGCCCAACUGAUUGAUGGUGCUUGCACCUGAUUGACGAUGGAUCACCAGUGAGUGGCGGACGGGUGAGUAACACGUAGGUAACCCGCCUCGGAGCGGGGGAUAACAUUUGGAAACAGAUGCUAAUACCGCAUAACAACAAAAGCCACAUGGCUUUUGUUUGAAAGAUGGGCUUUGGCUAUCACUCUGGGAUGGACCUGCGGUGCAUUAGCUAGUUGGUAAGGUAACGGCUUACCAAGGCAAUGAUGCAUAGCCGAGUUGAGAGACUGAUCGGCCACAAUGGAACUGAGACACGGUCCAUACUCCUACGGGAGGCAGCAGUAGGGAAUCUUCCACAAUGGGCGCAAGCCUGAUGGAGCAACACCGCGUGAGUGAAGAAGGGUUUCGGCUCGUAAAGCUCUGUUGUUGGAGAAGAACGUGCGUGAGAGUAACUGUUCACGCAGUGACGGUAUCCAACCAGAAAGUCACGGCUAACUACGUGCCAGCAGCCGCGGUAAUACGUAGGUGGCAAGCGUUAUCCGGAUUUAUUGGGCGUAAAGCGAGCGCAGGCGGUUGCUUAGGUCUGAUGUGAAAGCCUUCGGCUUAACCGAAGAAGUGCAUCGGAAACCGGGCGACUUGAGUGCAGAAGAGGACAGUGGAACUCCAUGUGUAGCGGUGGAAUGCGUAGAUAUAUGGAAGAACACCAGUGGCGAAGGCGGCUGUCUGGUCUGCAACUGACGCUGAGGCUCGAAAGCAUGGGUAGCGAACAGGAUUAGAUACCCUGGUAGUCCAUGCCGUAAACGAUGAGUGCUAGGUGUUGGAGGGUUUCCGCCCUUCAGUGCCGGAGCUAACGCAUUAAGCACUCCGCCUGGGGAGUACGACCGCAAGGUUGAAACUCAAAGGAAUUGACGGGGGCCCGCACAAGCGGUGGAGCAUGUGGUUUAAUUCGAAGCUACGCGAAGAACCUUACCAGGUCUUGACAUCUUGCGCUAACCUUAGAGAUAAGGCGUUCCCUUCGGGGACGCAAUGACAGGUGGUGCAUGGUCGUCGUCAGCUCGUGUCGUGAGAUGUUGGGUUAAGUCCCGCAACGAGCGCAACCCUUGUUACUAGUUGCCAGCAUUAAGUUGGGCACCCUAGUGAGACUGCCGGUGACAAACCGGAGGAAGGUGGGGACGACGUCAGAUCAUCAUGCCCCUUAUGACCUGGGCUACACACGUGCUACAAUGGACGGUACAACGAGUCGCAAGCUCGCGAGAGUAAGCUAAUCUCUUAAAGCCGUUCUCAGUUCGGACUGUAGGCUGCAACUCGCCUACACGAAGUCGGAAUCGCUAGUAAUCGCGGAUCAGCAUGCCGCGGUGAAUACGUUCCCGGGCCUUGCACUCACCGCCCGUCA